This 798-nucleotide ribosomal RNA is filed under the name uncultured Campylobacter sp. Its description in RNAcentral is "bacterial SSU rRNA". It matches the Rfam family "Bacterial small subunit ribosomal RNA", at positions 581 to 1376 of the family's 1533-position model. Lineage: Bacteria; Pseudomonadati; Campylobacterota; Epsilonproteobacteria; Campylobacterales; Campylobacteraceae. The record is from RNAcentral.
UAUCAAGUCUCUUGUGAAAUCUAAUGGCUUAACCAUUAAACUGCUUGGGAAACUGAUAGUCUAGAGUGAGGGAGAGGCAGAUGGAAUUGGUGGUGUAGGGGUAAAAUCCGUAGAUAUCACCAAGAAUACCCAUUGCGAAGGCGAUCUGCUGGAACUCAACUGACGCUAAGGCGCGAAAGCGUGGGGAGCAAACAGGAUUAGAUACCCUGGUAGUCCACGCCCUAAACGAUGUACACUAGUUGUUGGGAUGCUAGUCAUCUCAGUAAUGCAGCUAACGCAUUAAGUGUACCGCCUGGGGAGUACGGUCGCAAGAUUAAAACUCAAAGGAAUAGACGGGGACCCGCACAAGCGGUGGAGCAUGUGGUUUAAUUCGAAGAUACGCGAAGAACCUUACCUGGGCUUGAUAUCCUAAGAACCUUAUAGAGAUAUGAGGGUGCUAGCUUGCUAGAACUUAGAGACAGGUGCUGCACGGCUGUCGUCAGCUCGUGUCGUGAGAUGUUGGGUUAAGUCCCGCAACGAGCGCAACCCACGUAUUUAGUUGCUAACGGUUCGGCCGAGCACUCUAAAUAGACUGCCUUCGUAAGGAGGAGGAAGGUGUGGACGACGUCAAGUCAUCAUGGCCCUUAUGCCCAGGGCGACACACGUGCUACAAUGGCAUAUACAAUGAGACGCAAUACCGCGAGGUGGAGCAAAUCUAUAAAAUAUGUCCCAGUUCGGAUUGUUCUCUGCAACUCGAGAGCAUGAAGCCGGAAUCGCUAGUAAUCGUAGAUCAGCCAUGCUACGGUGAAUACGUUCCCG